RNAcentral lists this signal recognition particle RNA (268 nucleotides) under Clostridia bacterium. RNAcentral's name for it is "signal recognition particle sRNA large type". It matches the Rfam family "Bacterial large signal recognition particle RNA". Rfam says of the family: The signal recognition particle (SRP) is a universally conserved ribonucleoprotein involved in the co-translational targeting of proteins to membranes. Archaeal SRP consists of a 7S RNA and homologues of the eukaryotic SRP19 and SRP54 proteins. The record is from RNAcentral. Lineage: Bacteria; Bacillati; Bacillota; Clostridia.
UCAUACCAGUCGGGGUGGUAGCGGGGCCUUGUACCUGAAGUCCGCUAUAGCAGGGAUGGUAUCCUUUUCUGAGGGCUGUUUUUGUGUGGUCUGCGCCGCAGCAGGCUGUGUUGAUAAAUGGGUCUUGCGCGAUUGGCGGCUGUGAACCAUGUCAGGUGGGGAACCAAGCAGCAUUAAGCAGUUUUGCCGAUGCGCCGCAAGGGUGCCUGUUUUGAGCAGACUAUGUGGUUAACGCAUGUAAAAGCACGUUCGAAUUAAGGGUGUAUGA